Long non-coding RNA from Micropterus salmoides (largemouth bass), 307 nucleotides. RefSeq lists it as uncharacterized. The record is from RefSeq and is a predicted model, not a curated record. The transcript has 3 exons. NCBI's taxonomy places the organism in Eukaryota, Metazoa, Chordata, Actinopteri, Centrarchiformes, Centrarchidae.
GCUGAAAAGCUGCUGCUAUCCAGUUGGGGCUUACCAAAACCUGUACUGGAGCGCUACCAGAAACACGGAGUGACUCACAUGUUCGAAUGGCAGGCUCAGUGCCUCACUGUUGGACAGGUGCUGCAGGGAGGUAACCUGGUGUACUCUGCUCCGACCAGUGCUGGAAAAACUCUGGUGUCAGAGCUGCUGAUGUUGAAGCGAGUGUUGGAGACUAAAAGAAAAGCUCUCUUCAUUCUGCCAUUUGUCUCUGUGGCGAAAGAGAAGAUGCAUUACCUUCAGAGUGUAUUUGAAGAGGCAGGAGUUCGUG